CCUGGCCCCGCCCCCUGGGGGACUGGGAGGAGUUACAAGGGCAAAAGAAAAGUGGAGAAAGGCGCGGAAGGUUUCAAACAUUCCUGCUUUCCUGGAAAGCUCAAAGACUGUAGGCACUAUGUUCUGAGUGCCUGACAGAGUCCCACAAGAGUUCCACAGCUAAAGGCAUCACAGUUCCAACCUAGACCAGUGAGAGAAGGGAAGAGAAGCCUGCUUUCUCUGAAUCAUGGCAAUGUCCUAAGACAAAACAAAACAUAUGGCACAAUUCCUUUUUAAGGUUUUAUCUCACAAACACAAUGUACCGCAUAAAAAUAUAUGUGCAAAUGUGUUCACUGCGGCAUAUUGGUAAUAGUUCUGCCAAGAGUCUAUCAUCGGUAAGGACUGCUUUGCCUGUGGUACGUCACCCGCCGGAACACCACCCAGCCACGAAACACAGGUGAGGUAGAUCUGUACAUGCUGACAGUGAAACUGUCACAACUCCGGGAAAGCACAAGUUGCAAAAAAAAAAAAAAAAAAAAAAGACGUACAGUUUGAUGACAUUUCUGUAAAAAUAAAAA
Lutra lutra (Eurasian river otter) is the source of this 557-nucleotide long non-coding RNA. RefSeq lists it as uncharacterized. The transcript is spliced from 2 exons. The record is from RefSeq and is a predicted model, not a curated record. Lineage: Eukaryota; Metazoa; Chordata; Mammalia; Carnivora; Mustelidae.